CCUUGCCAACAAAGGAAGUUGAGCCAAAACCAAGGUUUGUCAAAAGAAGCCAGAUGACUCCACAGUCUUUACAUCACCACUCCAUCACCAUAGCCACUAAGUCCCAUAGCCACUGGAUGUUCCCACACCUCUCCCUCCAUCUGCACUUCAUGGCUUGAUACCUUGCAGUGAUGAUAUGAGUAAUCAUGAUGCCACCAUGUACCAAGAAUUACCCACAUCCUAUUUUCCCCUUACCCCUCUGAAGGAAAUAACCUCUGUGUUCUUGAACAUAUACACAACCCAAUCCCAAAAUCCUGCUUUGAGAUUCUGUUUUCGGAGCAUAAAUUGAACCAACUGUCCUAAAGCUACACAGAACAAGAUAGGCAUCUUCACCAGGAGACGAAAGAGCCCUGAUAGCCCAGAGCAGGGUGCAGAGCCCAACAAGAACAGCGUUCACACGCGGGGGCAGGCCAGUGAGGUGCGUCAAAGCCCCAGCAGGAGGCAGAGGAUAUCCCUGCCGGAAAGUGCCAGCAGUAGUAGUAGACACUACAACAGUGAAGGUGGGUGAGGAUCCACCUCGUGGAUCAUCACAGACGAGGAGGCAGCAUUCCUCACCGAUCCUGCGCACAGAGCUGGCUAACACAAAGCUAGAGGCCGAGGAAACAAAGACAGGCCUGAGGAGGACUGCCCUUCUGAACUGAAGCUGUCAGCAUGGGCUUGGAAGAAAUUCUCUCUGGCAUCAUGUGGCUCCACAGACAACUCCUAACUUAAUUUGGUCACACUUGCUUCCUUAUCUUGGAAUCUGAGGCACUGUUCUCUGUCUCCCUGUUCUGCCUCUGAGGAUGGCUCCCUAACCUCUACCCUGCUGGGAUCCUGCACUCCAGCCCGAGUGGGCCCCUCCAGACCUUGCUGUGGGCUGGCCGGUCUGCCUGGUUGGACCUCUGCCCACACCGUCUCACUCAAAUUGGACCUCUGAUGUUGACCCUGGCCUGUUCCUUGAACAAGUCUAUGCUUUAUGAUAAAUUUGGAUCUUGCUACCCCAUUCCC
Molecule: long non-coding RNA, 1026 nt
Filed under: Homo sapiens (human)
Lineage: Eukaryota; Metazoa; Chordata; Mammalia; Primates; Hominidae
Description: HSALNT0086281
Source: RNAcentral